Molecule: ribosomal RNA, 466 nt
Filed under: Vreelandella stevensii
Lineage: Bacteria; Pseudomonadati; Pseudomonadota; Gammaproteobacteria; Oceanospirillales; Halomonadaceae
Description: partial 16S ribosomal RNA
Rfam family: Bacterial small subunit ribosomal RNA
Source: RNAcentral
CCUACGUGAGGCUGCAGUGGGGAAUAUUGGACAAUGGGCGAAAGCCUGAUCCAGCCAUGCCGCGUGUGUGAAGAAGGCCUUCGGGUUGUAAAGCACUUUCAGUGGGGAAGAAAGCCUUGGGGCUAAUACCCUCGAGGAAGGACAUCACCCACAGAAGAAGCACCGGCUAACUCCGUGCCAGGCAGCCGCGGUAAUACGGAGGGUGCGAGCGUUAAUCGGAAUUACUGGGCGUAAAGCGCGCGUAGGCGGUCUGAUAAGCCGGUUGUGAAAGCCCCGGGCUCAACCUGGGAACGGCAUCCGGAACUGUCAGGCUAGAGUGCAGGAGAGGAAGGUAGAAUUCCCGGUGUAGCGGUGAAAUGCGUAGAGAUCGGGAGGAAUACCAGUGGCGAAGGCGGCCUUCUGGACUGACACUGACGCUGAGGUGCGAAAGCGUGGGUAGCAAACAGGAUUAGAUACCCGAGUAGUC